Molecule: ribosomal RNA, 377 nt
Filed under: uncultured bacterium
Lineage: Bacteria
Description: bacterial SSU rRNA
Rfam family: Bacterial small subunit ribosomal RNA
Source: RNAcentral
AAAGCUCUUUCAGUUGAGAGAAAAGGUUGUGGUAAAUAAUCACAAUUGAUGACGGUAUCGACAGAAGAAGCACCGGCUAACUACGUGCCAGCAGCCGCGGUAAUACGUAGGGUGCAAGCGUUAAUCGGAAUUACUGGGCGUAAAGGGUGCGCAGGCGGCUUUGUAAGUCAGAUGUGAAAUACCCCGGGCUUAACCUGGGAAUUGCGUUUGAAACUACAAAGACUAGAGUGUAGCAGAGGGGGGUGGGAAGUUCCAUGUGUAGCAGUGAAAUGCGUAGAGAUAUGGAAGAACAUCGAUGGCGAAGGCAGCCCCCUGGGUUAACACUGACGCUCAUGCACGAAAGCGUGGGGAGCAAACAGGAUUAGAUACCCUGGUAG